ACKGCUCAGUAACACGUGUUAAUCUCACCUUAGCGACGCGUACUACCCAGGGAACAUGGGUAUCAUUCGUGAUAGGCAAAGAGAGCUGCAAUGUGUCUUUACAUCAAUGAGCUUACGUUAUCCUCGUAAGCUUGUAUAAGGAUGAGUCCUCGGCCGAUCUGGUUGUUGGUGAGGUAAUGGCUCACCAAGCCUUUUACCGGUGCGGCCCGUGGGAGCGGGAGCCCGGAGAUGGACAAUGAGACAAGGGCCCAGGCCCUACGGGGCGCAGCAGUCUCGAAAACUUUUCAAUAAGCGAAAUCUUGACAGGGCUAUCGAGAGUUCCAUGGGUUGAGGAGGGCUUUUACCCAGUCUAGUACGGAGGGGGAAUAAGCAGUGGGCAUCUCCGGUGUCAGGAGACGCGGUAAUACCACGUCUGCGAGUGGUGUGGAUGUCCUUUCGUCAUAAAGCCACCGUAGUUCGCCAAGUUAGUCCAUCGUCAAUCCAUGGCAAUUAAUCGGUGGAUUGCGGGGGAUCGCUUAGGCUAGGGGACGAGAGAGGCAGCCGGUAUUAGGGGGGUAGGGGUGAUAUCCUAUAAUCAUCGGGAAGACCACCAGUGGCGAAGGCUGUCUCGUAGAACGCCCCCGACGGUGAGGGAUGAAAGCUGGGGGAGCGAGCCGGAUUAGACACCCGGGUAGUCCCAGCUGUAACAGAUUCAGAGUAGGUGUUUGGACGACCACGUGCCGUUGUAGUGCCGCAGGGAAGCUGUUAAGUCCACCUCCUGGGGAGUACGAUCUCAAGAGGAAAGGUAAAGGAAUUGKCGGGGGASC
RNAcentral lists this ribosomal RNA (806 nucleotides) under uncultured Thermoproteales archaeon. RNAcentral describes it as "bacterial SSU rRNA". It matches the Rfam family "Archaeal small subunit ribosomal RNA", at positions 85 to 877 of the family's 1478-position model. The record is from RNAcentral. Lineage: Archaea; Thermoproteati; Thermoproteota; Thermoprotei; Thermoproteales.